RNAcentral lists this ribosomal RNA (253 nucleotides) under uncultured bacterium. Its description in RNAcentral is "partial 16S ribosomal RNA". It matches the Rfam family "Bacterial small subunit ribosomal RNA", at positions 524 to 776 of the family's 1533-position model. The record is from RNAcentral.
UACAGAGGGGGCAAGCGUUGUUCGGAAUUACUGGGCGUAAAGGGCGCGUAGGCGGCCUGUUAAGUCGAACGUGAAAUCCCUGGGCUCAACCCAGGAACUGCGUCCGAUACUGGCAGGCUUGAAUUCGGGAGAGGGAUGCGGAAUUCCAGGUGUAGCGGUGAAAUGCGUAGAUAUCGGGAGGAACACCUGUGGCGAAGGCGGCCACCUGGUUGGAUACUGACGCUGAGACGCGAAAGCGUGGGGAGCAAACAGG